CCUAGAGUUGCGGGCUUUGGCCUGCCCAUCUCUUACCCAUGUCUUUUGAGCACCUUCGUUUCCUCGGCGGGUCCGCCCCGCCGUCAGGACACUUUAAAAACCACUUGCAGUUGCAAUCGGGCGUCUGAAAAAACCUUUAAUAGUUA
Molecule: unclassified non-coding RNA, 146 nt
Filed under: soil metagenome
Description: partial internal transcribed spacer 1
Source: RNAcentral